GAGUAACACGUAUCCAACCUGCCGUCUACUCUUGACAGCCUUCUGAAAGGAAGAUUAAUACAAGAUGGCAUCAUGAGUCCGCAUGUUCACAUGAUUAAAGGUAUUCCGGUAGACGAUGGGGAUGCGUUCCAUUAGAUAGUAGGCGGGGUAACGGCCCACCUAGUCUUCGAUGGAUAGGGGUUCUGAGAGGAAGGUCCCCCACAUUGGAACUGAGACACGGUCCAA
RNAcentral lists this ribosomal RNA (225 nucleotides) under uncultured bacterium. RNAcentral's name for it is "partial 16S ribosomal RNA". It matches the Rfam family "Bacterial small subunit ribosomal RNA", at positions 108 to 334 of the family's 1533-position model. The record is from RNAcentral.